AAACUUUCAACAACGGAUCUCUUGGUUCCGGCAUCGAUGAAGAACGCAGCGAAAUGCGAUAAGUAAUGUGAAUUGCAGAAUUCCGUGAAUCAUCGAAUCUUUGAACGCACAUUGCGCCCCCUGGUAUUCCGGGGGGCAUGCCUGUUCGAGCGUCAUUGCAACCCUCAAGCCCGGCUU
This 177-nucleotide ribosomal RNA is filed under the name Arthroderma tuberculatum. RNAcentral's name for it is "5.8S ribosomal RNA". The stretch from base 2 to 155 matches the Rfam family "5.8S ribosomal RNA". Rfam says of the family: 5.8S ribosomal RNA (5.8S rRNA) is a component of the large subunit of the eukaryotic ribosome. It is transcribed by RNA polymerase I as part of the 45S precursor that also contains 18S and 28S rRNA. The record is from RNAcentral. Lineage: Eukaryota; Fungi; Ascomycota; Eurotiomycetes; Onygenales; Arthrodermataceae.